This 480-nucleotide ribosomal RNA is filed under the name uncultured bacterium. RNAcentral describes it as "partial 16S ribosomal RNA". It matches the Rfam family "Bacterial small subunit ribosomal RNA", at positions 28 to 507 of the family's 1533-position model. The record is from RNAcentral.
GACGAACGCUGGCGGCGUGCUUAACACAUGCAAGUCGAACGAUGAAGCAAAGAAUCGAAGCUUCGGCAGAAAUUCAUUUCGGAUUAGUGGCAGACGGGUGCGUAACGCGUGAGCAACCUACCUCUUACAAAGGGAUAGCCUCGGGAAACCGGGAUUAAUACCAUAUAACAUUGUGACGAAGCAUUUCGAUGCAAUCAAAGCUACGGCGGUAAGAGAUGGGCGCGCGUCCCAUUAACCGGAUGGUGAGGUAACGGCUCGCCAUAGUGACGAUGGGUAACCGGGCGGAGAGGGUGAACGGUCACACUGGAAAUGAGACACGGUCCAGACUCCUACGGGAGGGAGCAGUGGGGAAUAUUGCACAAUGGAGGGAACUCUGAUGCAGCGACGCCGCGUGAGUGAUGAAGGAAUUCGUUUCGUAAAACUCUGUUCUAUGGGAAGAAAAGGACGGUACCAUAGGAGAAAGCUCCGGCUAAAUACGUG